This is a non-coding RNA of Biomphalaria pfeifferi, 224 nucleotides long. The record is from the annotation of a GenBank genome assembly. NCBI's taxonomy places the organism in Eukaryota, Metazoa, Mollusca, Gastropoda, Planorbidae.
AUAAAAAGAAGUUGGUAGCUUAGGCUCUGGAACAUUUUUUUUCUAUAACUACUGUAGACACACAUCAGUCUUUCACUAGUAUAUACCACUAACAUGUUGAUAAGCAAAGGACAGACAAAAGUAUGUUUCAAAGUUAAAAUGUGUAUUAACUUUAAUCUAAAUACUUUAUGUUAUAUAUAUACAUAUAUAUACAUAUAUGUAUGUGUAUAUAUAUAUAUAUAAAU